Molecule: long non-coding RNA, 796 nt
Organism: Erigeron canadensis
Lineage: Eukaryota; Viridiplantae; Streptophyta; Magnoliopsida; Asterales; Asteraceae
Exons: 4
Source: RefSeq, a predicted model, not a curated record
UGUAUAUAUAUCUAAUGUUCUGUUCUGUAUCUCUUAUAUUCCUAUAUAUUCAUAUUCAUUCAUUCAUGCCAUUCUAUCCAAUCCUCUUUUAUGUGGUAAACAUCUUUGGUAUACAUAUCGAUGGCGAAUCCUUCCUACAUCUCUGAUUCAUGAUGGCGGCGGUGAUAUUCAAGAAAAAAGAUUCCGAUGAAGAGGGUAUGGUUUGAAAUGGAGCUUCGGUGACUGAAACGACUCACAGGCCUCACCAUCCACCGCCGCUGUUUUUGGGAUCUUGCACCGCUGCUCGUGAUUUUCGGCCACCGCCGUUGCUUGUGAUUUCCGAUGGCCGCUGCUAAUUAUUUCCAGCCACUUAUUAUUAUUCCGACGCUAUUAUUCAUAGUUGUUAGAUUUGGAAACACUGAGAUCUUUGAUGGAUUUGUUAAAGAAUUAUUGGAUAUGAAAUCUUGGUGUAUUGAAGAAAGGUGUGACACUGUAUGAAGAAAAAGAAAAAGAAAAAAAAAGUUUCAGAUGAAGGAAUUCUUGGGGAGAUGAAAAAUAAAGUUGCAGUUUGAAGAAAAAAGGCGGCAGUUCGCUUGUUGCUUCGAGAUGGUGUCAUGGUGAUUAGUCAUUUUAAGAAGGAUUUGUUGCCACUAAUUAAGGGAUUGGAACAAAACUGAAAAAACAUCCUUUUUAAGCAAUAACAUGUUCUUUCAUCUUUUAUCUACUUGAUUGUCACAUAUACUUAUGCCAUUUUUUUUUUUAUCAAAUCACGACAACUUAAGAUAUUAAUCCAAAAAUGGAUUAUUUUUCAAAAUCA